UUUCCGUAGGUGAACCUGCGGAAGGAUCAUUACUGAGUUAGGGUCUUUAUGGCCCGACCUCCAACCCUUUGUUUAAUCUACCAUGUUGCUUUGGCAGGCCCGCUUAGAAAUGGGCCGCCGGAGACCUUUGAGUCUCUGGUCAGUGCCUGCCAGUAGCCUUUCUAAACUCAUUUAUAACCGUGUCUGAAUAUACAAAGAAAAAUUAAAAUAAAACUUUCAACAACGGAUCUCUUGGUUCUG
Molecule: unclassified non-coding RNA, 240 nt
Filed under: plant metagenome
Description: partial contains small subunit ribosomal RNA, internal transcribed spacer 1, and 5.8S ribosomal RNA
Source: RNAcentral